CGGAGGGUGCAAGCGUUAUCCGGAUUCACUGGGUUUAAAGGGUGCGUAGGUGGGCAGGUAAGUCAGUGGUGAAAUCUCCGGGCUUAACCCGGAAACUGCCAUUGAUACUAUCUGUCUUGAAUACCCUGGAGGUGAGCGGAAUAUGUCAUGUAGCGGUGAAAUGCUUAGAUAUGACAUAGAACACCCAUUGCGAAGGCAGCUCACUACGGGAAUAUUGACACUGAGGCACGAAAGCGUGGGGAUCAAACAGGAUUAGAUACCCUGGUAGUCCACGCCCUAAACUAUGGAUACUCGACAUCGGCGAUAAACUGUUGGUGUCUGAGCGAAAGCAUUAAGUAUCCCACCUGGGAAGUACGAUCGCAAGAUUG
This 368-nucleotide ribosomal RNA is filed under the name uncultured organism. Its description in RNAcentral is "bacterial SSU rRNA". It matches the Rfam family "Bacterial small subunit ribosomal RNA", at positions 526 to 896 of the family's 1533-position model. The record is from RNAcentral.